GGGCCCGUAGCUCAGCUGGAUAGAGCGACGGCCUCCUAAGCCGUAGGUCUCCGGUUCAAAUCCGGACGGGUCCGCCA
This 77-nucleotide transfer RNA is filed under the name Synergistota bacterium. RNAcentral describes it as "Synergistetes bacterium tRNA-Arg". It matches the Rfam family "tRNA". Rfam says of the family: Transfer RNA (tRNA) molecules are approximately 80 nucleotides in length. Lineage: Bacteria; Thermotogati; Synergistota. RNAcentral also lists the same sequence under 1 other name. The record is from RNAcentral.